GCGGUACCGGUUCACGCCCCCCUGUCUCCCAUGGCCCGGCCACUGGGUGGAGGCGCCCGGCGACC
RNAcentral lists this non-coding RNA (65 nucleotides) under unclassified sequences. Its description in RNAcentral is "L31-Actinobacteria ribosomal protein leader". It matches the Rfam family "L31-Actinobacteria ribosomal protein leader". The record is from RNAcentral.